UACGGAGGGUGCAAGCGUUAAUCGGAAUUACUGGGCGUAAAGCGUGCGCAGGCGGUUUUGUAAGUCUGUCGUGAAAUCCCCGGGCUCAACCUGGGAAUUGCGAUGGAGACUGCAAGGCUAGAAUCUGGCAGAGGGGGGUAGAAUUCCACGUGUAGCAGUGAAAUGCGUAGAGAUGUGGAGGAACACCGAUGGCGAAGGCAGCCCCCUGGGUCAAGAUUGACGCUCAUGCACGAAAGCGUGGGGAGCAAACAGG
Molecule: ribosomal RNA, 253 nt
Filed under: uncultured bacterium
Lineage: Bacteria
Description: partial 16S ribosomal RNA
Rfam family: Bacterial small subunit ribosomal RNA
Source: RNAcentral